GACGGUGAUCUUCCUCAUUCCUUUCUGGCACUUGAAACCAUUGCCCAAAGGAUCUCGAAGUCACCAAGAAUAAGUUGGAGGUUGCCAAAGGCUUGUUUGAAAAGGUUUAUCAAGCCCGACCGAGAACUCUGACAUUU
This 137-nucleotide small nucleolar RNA is filed under the name Ornithorhynchus anatinus (platypus). RNAcentral's name for it is "H/ACA-box snoRNA Oa2163". Lineage: Eukaryota; Metazoa; Chordata; Mammalia; Monotremata; Ornithorhynchidae. The record is from RNAcentral.